GAGUUUGAUCAUGGCUCAGAUUGAACGCUGGCGGCAUGCUUUACACAUGCAAGUCGAACGGCAGCGCGGGGCAACCUGGCGGCGAGUGGCGAACGGGUGAGUAAUAUAUCGGAACGUACCCAAGAGUGGGGGAUAACGUAGCGAAAGUUACGCUAAUACCGCAUACGAUCUAUGGAUGAAAGCAGGGGACCGCAAGGCCUUGUGCUCCUGGAGCGGCCGAUAUCUGAUUAGCUAGUUGGUGAGGUAAAGGCUCACCAAGGCGACGAUCAGUAGCUGGUCUGAGAGGACGACCAGCCACACUGGAACUGAGACACGGUCCAGACUCCUACGGGGGGCAGCAGA
RNAcentral lists this ribosomal RNA (342 nucleotides) under uncultured bacterium FR026. RNAcentral's name for it is "bacterial SSU rRNA". It matches the Rfam family "Bacterial small subunit ribosomal RNA", at positions 9 to 355 of the family's 1533-position model. The record is from RNAcentral.